AAAUCACAAUGCGGGACUAUCAGUCUUGCAAUUGGAUUGAGAACAAUGUACAACUCUUAUCGAUAAGCCAUUGGAGGGCAAGUCUGGUGCCAGCAGCCGCGGUAAUUCCAGCUCCAAUAGCGUAUAUUAACGUUGUUGCAGUUAAAAAGCUCGUAGUUGAAGUGUGGGUGAUCGCUGUUGUGAGACUUCGGUCUCUCGACAGUAAGUCACCCCCUUCCAGUAUCCAGUAGUGGGUAUUCAGUUACUUACUAUUGUGUGUUGGUCGUUUACUGUGAGAAAAUUAGAGUGUUCAAAGCAGGCGUUUGCUUGAAUAGAUUAGCAUGGAAUAAUAAUUGAAGGCUUUCGUGUUCGAUUUGAUUGGUUUGUUCAUGGAAGCAAGGUUAAAAGGAACAGUUGGGGGUAUUCAUAUUCACUAGUUAGAGGUGAAAUUCUCGGAUUUAUGGAAGAUGA
RNAcentral lists this ribosomal RNA (450 nucleotides) under Blastocystis sp. RNAcentral describes it as "SSU rRNA". It matches the Rfam family "Eukaryotic small subunit ribosomal RNA", at positions 475 to 938 of the family's 1831-position model. Lineage: Eukaryota; Bigyra; Opalinata; Blastocystidae. The record is from RNAcentral.